AAGUCGUAAGAAGGUUGCCGUAGGUGAACCUGCGGAAGGAUCAUUAACACGACCGGGUCACUGGGCGCAAGCCCCCCUAUAACAAACGCUGCCAAUCGCGGCCGCGAUAAUACGCAGUCGACAAAAACCGAACAACUGUUAACAAUGGAUAUCUUGGUUCUC
This 162-nucleotide unclassified non-coding RNA is filed under the name fungal sp. RNAcentral's name for it is "partial internal transcribed spacer region". The stretch from base 1 to 46 matches the Rfam family "Eukaryotic small subunit ribosomal RNA", at positions 1786 to 1831 of the family's 1831-position model. The record is from RNAcentral. Lineage: Eukaryota; Fungi.